RNAcentral lists this unclassified non-coding RNA (276 nucleotides) under Hevea brasiliensis (rubber tree). Lineage: Eukaryota; Viridiplantae; Streptophyta; Magnoliopsida; Malpighiales; Euphorbiaceae. The record is from RNAcentral.
UGAUAUAUUGAUGACAGUCCAUGGCCAUUGCCACUGCCAUUACCAUUGGAGGAUGUGUGUGCUUGCAUGUCCUGACCAGUAUAUCCUUUUCCUUCUUGCUGACCACUGGAGAAAUCCAAAUCUCUAGUAUUGUUUUUGGAUAACCAUUCAGAGCCUGAGAAGGUGGUAGAUUGUCUUGAAGGAUUAGCACCUGAAUUUACAUCUUUAUCCGCCAUGGGAUCUGUAGAAUUAUUUUCAGGCUUCUUCGUACUAAGAAAACGGCCUCCACAACCUCUU